This is a long non-coding RNA of Dama dama (fallow deer), 1210 nucleotides long. RefSeq lists it as uncharacterized. The transcript is spliced from 3 exons. Lineage: Eukaryota; Metazoa; Chordata; Mammalia; Artiodactyla; Cervidae. The record is from RefSeq and is a predicted model, not a curated record.
CCACCAGACCUAGCUCGGGGCUCAGGAAGUCUACAUCCGCAUCAGAGAGGGGGUGGCUACUCACUGUGCCCGAAUUCACAUAUUUCUUUUUCUUCAUUUUCUUUUUUGGGUUUACCACCUGCCGAGAAAAACAAAACAAAACAAAACCCAGUUACCAGAUCUUCCUGUGAAGUGGGCACUGAGAAAACAUCCUGUUUGUUCUGGGGUUUCCAGCACCACUGGGCAUGCACAGCCCCUCCCUGCCUCCCCGUGUACCAGCCUCUCCAGCCCUAAGCGGCUGCACCCAAACGCCAUGCAGGGGACCAGCACCCCCUAGGGGCCAGCAACCUCCCCACUCCUGGGUUGGAGAUGGAAGCCUUCUCCUCUCCCUCUCCUCACAUCCCCAGCGUCUCCAGGGUCCCCAGGGCUGGUAUGGGGUCUACCCUCCUGUGCAAAGGGGGCACUGAGUGGCUCCCAGGACUAGGAGCUAUGCGGGCUCUGGAUACAACGCUUUCAGCCUUCAGAUUUUGAGCUCCUCAACGGUGGGACCCAAUGGCAUCUGGUGGCCACCUCCAGUUGUUGUUCAGCCUCUCCAUCAUCUCUGACUCUUUGCGACCCCGUGGACCGCAGCACGCCAGGUCUCCCUGGGCUUCACUUCUCCCAGAAUUUCCUCAAACUCAUGUCCAUUGAGUCGGUGAUGCCAUCCAACCAUCUCAUCCUCUGCCGCCCCCUUCUCCUCCUGCCCUCGAUCUGUCCCAGAAUCAGGGUCUUUUCAAUGACUUCGCUCUUCGCGUCAGGUGGCCAAAGUAUUGGAGCUUCAGCUUCAGCAUCAGUCCUUCCAAUGAAUAUUCAGGGUUGACUUCCUUUAGGAUGGACUGGUUUGUUCUCCUUGCAGUCCAAGGGACUCUCAGGAGUCUUCUUCAGCACCACAGUUUGAAAGCAUUAAUUUCUCGGCACUCGGCCUUCUUUAUGGUCCAAUUCUCACAUCUGCACAUGACUACUGGAAAAACCAUAGCUUUGACUAUAUGGACCUUUGUCAGCAAAGUGAUGUCUCUGUUCUUGAGUACACUGUCUAGGUUUGUCAUAGCUUUUCUUCCAAGGAGCAAGUGUCUUUUAAUUUCAUGGCUGCAGUCACCAUCUGCAGUGAUUUUGGAGCCCAAGAAAAAUGAAAUCUGUCACUGUUACCAUUUUUCCCCAUCUGUUUGCCAUGAAGUGAUGGGACUGGAUGCCA